RNAcentral lists this long non-coding RNA (1192 nucleotides) under Mus musculus (house mouse). RNAcentral describes it as "predicted gene, 36252". Lineage: Eukaryota; Metazoa; Chordata; Mammalia; Rodentia; Muridae. The record is from RNAcentral.
UGUGAAGCAGAGCAUCAUGGUACAGGAAGCUUGUGUCUGUGUGAAGCAGAGCAUCAUAGUACAGGAAGCUUGUGUCUGUGUGAAGCAGAGCAUCAUGGUACAGGAAGCUGUGGCAGAGUGAUUAUCCCCAUGAGCUGGAUGCAUGAAGGCUCUUCAAAGGCACGCCUGAAUGAGAGCUUCCUCCAGCUAGGCUCCUCCCAAAGUUUCCCCCAUCUUCUAAAAUAGUGCCACCAGUUGGUGACUUGAGCCAGAUCCUCUGUGAGGACAGCGGUUGGUGACAAGAGCCAUCAGAGCAAGGGGCAGGCUGACAGGAGUGAGGGCACAGUGGAGUCAGCCCAAUGGGGCUCAUUAGCUCAGCGUUCUUCAUCAUGGCUGGAGGCCUUGAUCUUUACUAGAAAAUUCCACACAGUCUCAAGUGCUGAGCAAAAUCAACCAGAUUCUAUUGCUAGGAAGGCAGAGUCCUGAGGAUGGCCCCUUUGGGCGGCAAGACCCCGUGAAUGUCAUGCACAACUUGGAGAAAGUAACCCAAGUGGCACACACUGGAGCCUAAGCAAAUUGCCCAGAAAUCAACUGGCUGCAGCACAAACUAAUUGAAUCUCCACAGAAAGUACCCUUCCUGGCCACACCGUCCCUCCACAACGAAGAAAUAAGUAAAUUAAACUGAGUGUAUACAAGAUCUGGAUGUAGAACUCUCAGCUCCUUCUCCGGCAACAUGUCUAGCCGCAUGCUGCUAUGCCCCCGCCCUGAUGGCAAUGGACUAAACCUCAGAAACUAUCCACUCUGUCUAUCCCAUUCUGUGUUGGUCGUGCUGUUGAAUUGAGCUCACAAUCUAAGGUUUGGAGCAAGUGCCAGAAUCCACCUUGCUGGCUGAUUUAAGCUCCUUCCAACUUAAACUUCCUUCUGUGCAGCACUCUCUAUGGGGUUCAGAGCAGAGCAGUUUCCAGACAUUGGGAGAAUGGACUCAGGAAUAUUUUGUUUUACACACUGAUUGUUCUCAGAAGUCUCAGGGCCAAGCAGACAGCACUUGUCAGUGAAUGGCAGUGCUACUACCAUCUCUGUUAUUUCCAUGAGUUCAAAGCCAGCCAAGGGACCAUCUAAAGGGGCCGUGAAACAGAUUGACGUCGAUGAGCUACUCAGUCUCUUGAUGAUACUGUUUGCUCCAUGGGCUACAUCCACGCUUGCCUUCACCCUC